RNAcentral lists this non-coding RNA (84 nucleotides) under Nitrosospira sp. Nsp1. Lineage: Bacteria; Pseudomonadati; Pseudomonadota; Betaproteobacteria; Nitrosomonadales; Nitrosomonadaceae. The record is from RNAcentral.
CUUUACGGGUGGCUCAUGUGGGGAGCCGAAAGGCUCGCCGGUCCUUGUUCCGGUCUGUCAACCCGCAUGAGUCCGCCCACCAUU